UUUGUCUUUUAGUGCAAGUAUGACAGUUUGCAUGCAUAUGCAUAUGCAUGCAAACUGUCAUCAAGCAUGCAUUACAUG
Non-coding RNA from Brugia malayi, 78 nucleotides. Lineage: Eukaryota; Metazoa; Nematoda; Chromadorea; Rhabditida; Onchocercidae. The record is from RefSeq and is a predicted model, not a curated record.